UUGUCUUCUUCCUCACUCACACCGAAACCCUUUCCCCCAAAUCUUUCCUACCGUUCACGCGCCCUUCAGCUCGCCGCCUCUAGCCACGAGAGUUUCGUCGCUGCCAGUCCGAGCCGUUGAAGACCGUCGUUCAAACUGCCUCCACCAGCCGUUGAAGGCCGUAGACCGCACGAGCCAAGCCAGUCGCCCGCGCCGCCGCCGUUCCAGCUUUUGACCGUUGUGUGCCGCACCAAUCUCGCCUGUUGGAGAAGCCAUCUGAUUUGCCACCGCCUGCUUCGCCCUCACGCCGCUCGAUCCGUCUAGUUUCGCUGCUGACCAUUCGCACGCCGCCAGCCCAGCCGCCGAUCUCCGUCGGUCACUACCUCCCUUCGCCGCUGUUUAUCAAGAUUUUGGCUUGUGGUGAAGUUUUGGAUUCAAGCAUUGAAGGAAUUUUAAGGUUGAAGUGUUUGUCAGACAUUGCACAGGAUUAAGUUGGGUUUCGCAAACGGAUUUAAGUUUGAAACUAAUUUUGGACCAAGCAACAUUUUGGAAAAGGUAAAGAUGUACCGGCGAUGGCAUAGUGGAAUUCGUGCUCGUGUCACUGGGACUAGACCUUUUCGCUUCCACAUCUUGAAAUCUGUUAUUUGGUUUUAUUGUUUAAAAUUUAUUACUAAGGAUUAUUUCUUUUAUAUGCCUUUGAUUAGCCUUUAAGAAUUUGGGU
This is a long non-coding RNA of Benincasa hispida (wax gourd), 700 nucleotides long. RefSeq lists it as uncharacterized. The record is from RefSeq and is a predicted model, not a curated record. NCBI's taxonomy places the organism in Eukaryota, Viridiplantae, Streptophyta, Magnoliopsida, Cucurbitales, Cucurbitaceae.